AGUGAACGCUGGCGGUAGGCCUAACACAUGCAAGUCGAACGGCAGCACAGUAAGAGCUUGCUCUUACGGGUGGCGAGUGGCGGACGGGUGAGGAAUACAUCGGAAUCUACUUUUUCGUGGGGGAUAACGUAGGGAAACUUACGCUAAUACCGCAUACGACCUACGGGUGAAAGCAGGGGAUCUUCGGACCUUGCGCGAUUGAAUGAGCCGAUGUCGGAUUAGCUAGUUGGCGGGGUAAAGGCCCACCAAGGCGACGAUCCGUAGCUGGUCUGAGAGGAUGAUCAGCCACACUGGAACUGAGACACGGUCCAGGCUCCUACGGGAGGCAGCAGUGGGGAAUAUUGGACAAUGGGCGCAAGCCUGAUCCAGCCAUACCGCGUGGGUGAAGAAGGCCUUCGGGUUGUAAAGCCCUUUUGUUGGGAAAGAAAGGCAGCAGGUUAAUACCCCGCUGUUCUGACGGUACCCAAAGAAUAAGCACCGGCUAACUUCGUG
RNAcentral lists this ribosomal RNA (492 nucleotides) under uncultured bacterium. Its description in RNAcentral is "partial 16S ribosomal RNA". It matches the Rfam family "Bacterial small subunit ribosomal RNA", at positions 29 to 507 of the family's 1533-position model. The record is from RNAcentral.